UCGAGAGGCUUCGGCAAUGGGGGAAACCCUGACCGAGCGACGUCGCGUGGGUGAUGAAGAUCUUCGGAUCGUAAAACCCUGUCAGGUGGGAUGAAAUGUCACAUGGUGAAUAACCACGUGGCUUGACAGUACCACCAGAGGAAGCUCCGGCCAACUCCGUGCCAGCAGCCGCGGUAACACGGGGGGAGCAAGCGUUGUUCGGAAUCAUUGGGCGUAAAGGGCUCGUAGGCGGCUCCGUAAGUCGGGGGUGAAAGGCCAUGGCUCAACCAUGGACACGCCUCUGAAACUACGGAUCUUGGGAUCGGGAGAGGAAAGUGGAAUUCCUGGAGUAGCGGUGAAAUGCGUAGAUAUCAGGAGGAACACCAGUGGCGAAGGCGGCUUUCUGGCCCGAUUCUGACGCUGAGGAGCGAAAGCCAGGGGAGCAAACGGGAUUAGAUACCCCGGUAGUCCUGGCCCUAAACGAUGGGCACUAGGUGUGGGAAGUUCGACCCUUUCCGUGCCGCAGUUAACGCAUUAAGUGCCCCGCCUGGGAAGUACGGCCGCAAGGUUG
This 550-nucleotide ribosomal RNA is filed under the name uncultured bacterium. RNAcentral describes it as "bacterial SSU rRNA". It matches the Rfam family "Bacterial small subunit ribosomal RNA", at positions 355 to 896 of the family's 1533-position model. The record is from RNAcentral.